This is a long non-coding RNA of Acanthochromis polyacanthus (spiny chromis), 1001 nucleotides long. RefSeq lists it as uncharacterized. NCBI's taxonomy places the organism in Eukaryota, Metazoa, Chordata, Actinopteri, Pomacentridae. The record is from RefSeq and is a predicted model, not a curated record. The transcript has 3 exons.
CGCUCUUCAAGUGGCCCAGAACAACCCAAAAGGGCUCCACACCUCCUGCCUGUUGCAUGCCUGCUAUGCAAGGAGAACAGAUAUAUCAACAUCUGGCACAACAGAAAGAGGGAAAAACUCUCUCAGUGUCUAACAUUUACAGCAGCAGAUCAACUCCUUCGUGCUGCUGAGGGGAAGAAGGAUGAACACCUGUUGCUUCAAAUCCAUGGAAGAUAUCUUGUUGCGUCAGAGGCCAUGUAUCACCACAGUUGCUUUGCAAAUUACACACGAUACCUGAGAGGAACAAAGAGAGGUUUCUGAAGAGGCCAAUCCGUAUCAGGCAGGCUACAGACAUUUCUGUCAGACAGUGGUGGAAGAGCGCCUACUGGCAAACCGUGAAGUGUUGAGGCUUUCACGGCUAAAUGACCUCUUUAAGGAAAUUGUUAGAGAUAAGGAAGGACUGGACAUUUCGACUUAUAAAGCAUUUAGCUUAAAAUCAAGGCUUCCUAAGUCCCAUCCAUGCCUUAAAUUCCUUAAAGCAGCCAGAAAUGACUUUGUCUAUGUAGAGGACCUAACUGCUGAAGAGGUCAUCCAGGAUGAACCGGCACAGCCUUCAUCAGACAGCAGUGACUGAGAGGAGGAUGGCAUGGAACCCACUCAUUUAGGCCAUCAACAAGCAUAGACAGACACCUGUACCAUUCAGCCAUGCUACUGAAAGAGAUCAUAGAGACCAAGUGUAAAGUGACUCCAAAAAUGCCCUGGCCACCAACAUCACAAGACCUUAAGAUGGACACUGCCUCCAGUGUUGCCGGUGCAAAGCACGAAAAUGUGUGCAGGGGAGAUGCACAUGCAAACAGCACCAGCUACCAUGCACAGACAUGUGUGCAUGUAUUGACUGCUCCAAUUCUGCAGGACAUGAAACAUAAGAGGAAAAAAAGAGAGCAAGCUUCAUGGGCAUACUUAUGCCAAAUUUGUGGCUUUCAUAGCACUUUUUUGUAUAAAGUUCAUCUUGUUCAAGUUAA